RNAcentral lists this small RNA (1801 nucleotides) under Pongo abelii (Sumatran orangutan). RNAcentral describes it as "retained intron". Lineage: Eukaryota; Metazoa; Chordata; Mammalia; Primates; Hominidae. The record is from RNAcentral.
UGCGCCUCCUUGCACCUGCGCCUGUGCUUUUCUCUCAGCACAGCGGACGCGACUCGAGGGUGACGCUCGCUCCGCUCGUCAUGGCCUACCCGGGAUACGGAGGAGGGUUUGGAAAUUUUAGCAUUCAGGUGCCAGGAAUGCAGAUGGGACAGCCAGUGCCAGAAACAGGCCCAGGUAUACUCCUCGAUGGAUACUCUGGGUGCCCAGCAUUUUCAGACACUUAUUCCUCAGCUGGUGACUCCGUGUAUACUUACUUCAGUGCUGUUGCUGGACAGGAUGGUGAAGUGGAUGCUGAAGAACUUCAGAGAUGUUUGACACAGUCUGGAAUUAGUGGAACUUACUCUCCCUUCAGUUUGGAAACCUGCAGAAUUAUGAUUGCCAUGUUGGAUAGAGAUUACACAGGAAAAAUGGGAUUUAAUGCAUUCAAAGAGCUAUGGUCAGCUCUUAAUGCCUGGAAGGAAAACUUCAUGACUGUUGAUCAAGAUGGAAGUGGCACAGUAGAACAUCAUGAGUUGCGUCAAGCCAUUGGUCUUAUGGGUUAUAGGUUGAGUCCUCAAACAUUAACUACUAUUGUUAAACGUUAUAGCAAGAAUGGCAGAAUUUUCUUUGAUGAUUAUGUUGCUUGCUGUGUGAAGCUUCGAGCAUUGACAGGUAUUGACUAUUUAAAACUAGGUGUACAGUAUUAUGUAGCUAUUUUUCUUGAAUAAUGUGUCUCAUUUCCUCCAGCAAGUUUAUAAUAAUGUGUGUUUUCCCCCUUUAUUCACUGUUAAAUCUAAUUAGUUUUAAGCCUUCAAAUAUUAAGGAAUAUAAAUGAUAAAAACUUGUUAUGUUAUUUUUGGAAGUUUUUCUUCAUAUCUCUGUUGCCUGGGCUAUUCAAUCACUUAAUAUUUAAUUGAAUAUGAAAUUAUUCUUUUUUUGUACCUGGGGGCACUAAAUAUUUGAAACUAUGUAUUUUAAAUUACAAUAAAAAAGUAAUUUCUUUGUUUAAAGAUUUCUUUAGGAAAAGAGACCACUUGCAACAAGGGUCUGCGAAUUUCAUAUAUGACGAUUUUUUGCAGGGCACUAUGGCAAUUUGAAUGUUUAGAAUUUUAAACCUGAAGAGACACUGAAUUCUUUUGCUUGGAAGAAGUGAACCGGACGACUUUAAAACUUUUAAGAGUUUUCUAUGUUCUUCCUACCUGUUAAACCUCUUACCUUUCUGUGUGUUUUUAUUUUAGCAGAUAGUUAAAAGCAAUAAAAGAUUUUUUUUUAACUUGAGGUAUUACUGCUUUUGGAAAAGUUAUUUUAUAAAUAUGUGCAUAUUGUCAUAAAAUAUUGUAUGAUUAAUUGAUUUAAAUAAUGCUUAGCCUUAAUUUUAAAUAAUGUAAAUUUAGAGGAAUGUACUUUACAAGAUAGAUUGUAUAAGAAGCCAAAUGAUGAAAGCCUAGAAAAAACUAAUUUAUACUUAUCUGAAGGUUACAAAUUAGACUUUUAAAUUUUGUUUGUAGUUGGUGGUGUUUGAGGGUCGGCUAGAAAUGAAAGCCUGGAUUUUGUGCUGUGUUUGUAAUAUAGUUUGUUCCUUGAUCAAAUAAUCAGAGAAAAGAAACUUAAAGAUCUUUGUCCGUGAAGAAGAAAAUUAUCUCCCUAGUCAAAUCUGUAGUCAAAUAAGACUACAGAAGGCAUUAUUUUUUCCUUUUUUAUUUUUUGUAGUAUAUAUUUUUCUUAAAUAUGUUUUAUUGUCUUCUCUAAGCAAAAAGUUCUUAAUAAACAUAGUAUUUCUCUCUGCACCCUAUUUCAUUAGUGAAGACAUAGUUCACUUAAA